Molecule: long non-coding RNA, 257 nt
Filed under: Gallus gallus (chicken)
Lineage: Eukaryota; Metazoa; Chordata; Aves; Galliformes; Phasianidae
Source: RNAcentral
CUGACUUCAUUUUUGGUCAUCCCCUGCAGCGGAAAAGCUCUGACAGACAAGACAACCGUGAUGCUGGAUUUCCUUUGGCUUCAAGUAAAGCACUAUCUCGUUGAUGGGCCUGGAGAAGAGGAGGCGGUGUGGUGACUUCAUUGCAGCCUUCCAGUAUACAAAGGGAGCCUCCAAACAGGAGGGCAGUCGAACCUUUACAGUGGGCGUGGGAACAGAGGGCAACUCGCUGAUGGGAGUGAUGGUGUCCUGCUCGGAAG